UGUAAGGGAUUUUGACUUUUGGGUUAUAACUUUGACCAUUCGUCUUAUUAAAAAAAUUUAAAAUUAUUAUUUAUUUUAUUGUUAAAAGUAAUUUAAUCAUGACUUAUAAUUUUUAAUAUUUACAAUAAAUUUUUUAAUAAGACGAAUGGUCAAAGUUGCAACCCAAAAGUCAAAAUCCCUUGUACU
RNAcentral lists this microRNA precursor (186 nucleotides) under Leersia perrieri. RNAcentral describes it as "MIR812 microRNA precursor family". It matches the Rfam family "MIR812 microRNA precursor family". Lineage: Eukaryota; Viridiplantae; Streptophyta; Magnoliopsida; Poales; Poaceae. The record is from Rfam by way of RNAcentral.